This is a long non-coding RNA of Mytilus californianus (California mussel), 879 nucleotides long. RefSeq lists it as uncharacterized. The transcript has 2 exons. The record is from RefSeq and is a predicted model, not a curated record. NCBI's taxonomy places the organism in Eukaryota, Metazoa, Mollusca, Bivalvia, Mytilida, Mytilidae.
CACUAAAAAGUGAAAAAUCUUUGUAUCAGACCAUACUGUUUGCAAAAAAAGUUGAAUGCAAGAGUCUUUUUGUGCUCCGAUUUAUUGUAUCAUGUCACCUGAGUAUAGAAAUGAUAGAAAAGACACAAAAUUUUAUUUCAUAUAGCUUCAAUAUGCAUUUUUAAAUGUAAAUAUGUGAUACGGCCUAAAUUGACCCUAAAUUAUUUUCAGUCUUACUUGGCCUAAGACCCUUUUAAACUAAUGUGAUAUGUUAUUUGUAAGUUUUCUUUCCAUUUAAAGUACAUUAAAUACAUAUGUAAGGAUUAUUUAUAACCAAAAAGCUUUACAAAUUUAAAAUUGCUGGAAAAUAUUACAUCUUCAUGUAAGGCCCCCCUUCAUUGGAAAACCUCCAUUUUUAGCCACAGGCUCAUAUAAAUUUGACUUUUUAAUAAUUAUGAUAAGUCUGAUAAAUCAAAUGAGUACUCUAUUGCUUUUAAUACAUAAUAUAUUAUAUAUUAAGGCAUUUCAAAAGUAUUUUUUUGCAAUAUUUAAAUUUUUUAAGCCCCAAAUGUUGAUAGUUGAAAAUUUUCAAUUUUAACAUCUAAAUUUAACACUCAAAGUUGAAUAUAGAAUUAGUCAUAUUGUCUAUAAUAUAUAUCCUAUUGCCAUGAAACUUUGUAAGCAGUCUUAUAAUUUAAUAAGCUUUGGUCAUACCAAGUUUCAUUAAGAUUGGUCAACUUUUUCUACCCUAUUAGGUCCGGGUACACAGUUAUCGUCCUUUGAUUUUCGUUGUCCACGAAUAUAGUCCCUAGUGUGGACAGUGUGUUACUUGUCGAUUUUUUUUAUACCCCUUCCGAAUUUAUUUCUCCAUGUUUUAUGACUCAAAUAGUAAGUAGGGGG